Molecule: ribosomal RNA, 719 nt
Filed under: uncultured archaeon
Lineage: Archaea
Description: bacterial SSU rRNA
Rfam family: Archaeal small subunit ribosomal RNA
Source: RNAcentral
CCGAGGGUAUUCCGGGGAUAGCGGUAAAAUGCGUAGAUCCCCGGAGGACCACCAGUGGCGAAGGCGCUCGGCUGGAACGCGUCCGACGGUGAGGGACGAAAGCUGGGGGAGCAAACCGGAUUAGAUACCCGGGUAGUCCCAGCCGUAAACGAUGCCGGCUAGGUGCCGGCCGAGGUUUCGGCCUCGGCCGGUGUCGAAGCGAAGGCGUUAAGCCGGCCGCCUGAGGAGUACGGCCGCAAGGCUGAAACUUGAAGGAAUUGACGGGGGGGCACCACAAGGGGUGAACGCCUGCGGCUCAAUUGGACUCAACGCCGGGAAUCUUACCGGGGGCGACAGCAGGAUGAAGGUCAGGCUGAAGACCUUACCUGACGCGCUGAGGGGUGGUGCAUGGCCGUCGCCAGCUCGUGCCGUGAGGUGUCCUGUUAAGUCAGGCAACGAGCGAGACCCCCGCCCCUAGUUGCCAGCGGGGCCCUUCGGGGCUGACCGGGCAAACUAGGGGGACUGCCGGCGAAGAGCCGGAGGAAGGAGGGGGCUACGGCAGGUCAGUAUGCCCCUAAUCCCCCGGGCCGCACGCGGGCUGCAAUGGGCGGGACAGCGGGAUGCGACCCCGAGAGGGGGGGCUAACCCCUUAAACCCGCCCGUAGUUGGGAUCGAGGGCUGCAACUCGCCCUCGUGAACCCGGAAUCCCUAGUAACNNCGGUCUCCAUACCGCGGGAAUA